UGACGCCUGCCCGGUGCUGGAAGGUUAAGAGGAACCGUCAACAUCCUUCGGGGUGUGAAGCGGUGAAUUUAAGCCCCAGUAAACGGCGGUGGUAACUAUAACCAUCCUAAGGUAGCGAAAUUCCUUGUCGGGUAAGUUCCGACCUGCACGAAUGGCGUAACGACUUCUCCGCUGUCUCAACCGCGAACUCGGUGAAAUUGCAGUACGAGUAAAGAUGCUCGUUUCGCGCAGAAGGACGGAAAGACCCCGGGACCUUUACUAUAGCUUGGUAUUGGUGUUCGCUUGGACUUGUGUAGGAUAGGUGGGAGACUGUGAAGCUGCCGCGCCAGCGGUGGUGGAGUCGUCGUUGAAAUACCAUUCUGGUUUAAGCGGUCACCUUAACCUUGGCCCGUGAUCCGGGUUGGGGACAGUGCCUGGUGGGUAGUUUAACUGGGGCGGUUGCCUCCUAAAAUGUAACGGAGGCGCUCAAAGGUUCCCUCAGCCUGGUUGGUAAUCAGGUGGCGAGUGCAAGUGUACAAGGGAGCUUGACUGUGAGACCGACGGGUCGAGCAGGUGCGAAAGCAGGAACUAGUGAUCCGGCCAUGGCACGUGGGUGCGUGGUCGCUCAACGGAUAAAAGGUACCCCGGGGAUAACAGGCUGAUCUUGCCCAAGAGUCCAUAUCGACGGCAUGGUUUGGCACCUCGAUGUCGGCUCGUCGCAUCCUGGGGCUGGAGUUGGUCCCAAGGGUUGGGCUGUUCGCCCAUUAAAGCGGUACGCGAGCUGGGUUCAGAACGUCGUGAGACAGUUCGGUCCCUAUCCUCUGUGCGCGUAGGAAACUUGAAAAGGGCCGUCCCUAGUACGAGAGGACCGGGAUGGACGAACCUCUGGUGUGCCAGUUGUACCGCCAGGUGCAUGGCUGGUUAGCUACGUUCGGAAGGGAUAACCGCUGAAAGCAUCUAAGCGGGAAGCCUGCUUCAAGAUGAGGUUUCCACGCCCCCCAGUGGGGUGAGAGGCCCCCGCCAGACUAGCGGGUAGAUAGGCCAGAGGUGGAAGCACCGCAAGGUGCUCGUGAGCCGACUGGUACUAAUUGGCCAACACUAAACAAC
RNAcentral lists this ribosomal RNA (1086 nucleotides) under metagenome. RNAcentral describes it as "bacterial LSU rRNA". It matches the Rfam family "Bacterial large subunit ribosomal RNA", at positions 1853 to 2925 of the family's 2925-position model. The record is from RNAcentral.